This 872-nucleotide ribosomal RNA is filed under the name Streptococcus sp. BS-26. RNAcentral describes it as "bacterial SSU rRNA". It matches the Rfam family "Bacterial small subunit ribosomal RNA", at positions 584 to 1467 of the family's 1533-position model. The record is from RNAcentral. Lineage: Bacteria; Bacillati; Bacillota; Bacilli; Lactobacillales; Streptococcaceae.
UAAGUCUGUAGUAAAAGGCGGCAGCUCAACUGUCGUAGGCUAUGGAAACUGUCUAACUAUAGUGCAGAAGAGGGCGAUGGAACUCCAUGUGUAGCGGUAAAAUGCGUAGAUAUAUGGAAGAACACCAGUGGCGAAGGCGGUCGCCUGGUCUGUAACUGACGCUGAAGCACGAAAGCGUGGGGAGCAAAUAGGAUUAGAUACCCUAGUAGUCCACGCCGUAAACGAUGAGAACUAAGUGUUGGGGGAAUAACUCAGUGCUGCAGUUAACGCAAUAAGUUCUCCGCCUGGGGAGUAUGCACGCAAGUGUGAAACUCAAAGGAAUUGACGGGGGCCCGCACAAGCGGUGGAGUAUGUGGUUUAAUUCGAAGCAACGCGAAGAACCUUACCAGGCCUUGACAUCCCCGGCGAAGACAUGGAGACAUGUCGGAGGUUAACCGGGAGACAGGUGGUGCAUGGUUGUCGUCAGCUCGUGUCGUGAGAUGUUGGGUUAAGUCCCGCAACGAGCGCAACCCUUGUGAUAUGUUACUAACAGUAAGAUGAGGACUCAUAUCAGACUGCCGGUGACAAACCGGAGGAAGGUGGGGAUGACGUCAAAUCAUCAUGCCCCUUAUGGCCUGGGCUACACACGUACUACAAUGGCGGCUACAAAGAGCGGCGAACCCGCGAGGGGGAGCGAAUCUCAUAAAGGUCGUCUCAGUUCGGAUUGAAGUCUGCAACCCGACUUCAUGAAGUUGGAAUCGCUAGUAAUCGCGAAUCAGCAUGUCGCGGUGAAUACGUUCUCGGGCCUUGUACACACCGCCCGUCAAACCAUGGGAGUUGGUAAUACCCGAAGCCGGUGGCAUAACCGCAAGGAGGAACCGUCGAAGGAGAUC